Long non-coding RNA from Lampris incognitus (smalleye Pacific opah), 519 nucleotides. RefSeq lists it as uncharacterized. Lineage: Eukaryota; Metazoa; Chordata; Actinopteri; Lampriformes; Lampridae. The record is from RefSeq and is a predicted model, not a curated record. The transcript has 3 exons.
GGAGAUUACGAAGUUUAUUCAGAAGUAUAACCAGAACAAAAUAUCCGGUUGUUGUGUGUUUGGCUGUACGAAUCGCUACUCUACCAACAGCGGACUGAAGUUUUACCGAUUCCGACGGGAUCACGGCCAUUUCAGAGCAACCGGAGGUGCAAGCCAUCAAACGUAUUGAUGAAAACUGGACUGAGGACACGAUCCAAAAUGCUGGCGUUUGCAGUGCCCAUUUUAUAUCAGGUACCAUAGGAAAAGGAGACGAGAUGAAAGGGUUUACACUCCACCAAAUCAGCCUGCUCCUUCUGAAACUCCAGGACAAGUCAUCAGCAUGGAUCACUGUCCUGAAAAGGAAAAAAGCAACUCUGCACAGGAGGUGGACUCAUCGAGACAACUGUCUCGUGUAAGGAUACAUGUGGAAUGAGUAAUUGGAUGAUGGAAGAACUUUAAGAUUUUGCAAACAGUAAUUCCAGUGUCACAUGUUAACAUUCUCGAUGAUGUUGUGAUAGUGUGUGGCACUCCCACAAACCU